UACGUAGGUGGCAAGCGUUGUUCGGAAUUAUUGGGCGUAAAGGGCGCGUAGGCGGUUUGUUAAGUCGGCUGUGAAAGCCCGGGGCUCAACCCCGGAGGGUCAGCCGAUACUGGCAGACUAGAGUACGGAAGAGGUAGCUGGAAUUCCCGGUGUAGCGGUGAAAUGCGUAGAUAUCAGGAGGAACACCGGUGGCGAAGGCGGUUCUCUGGGCAUUACCUGACGCUGAGGAGCGAAAGUGUGGGGAGCGAACAGG
Molecule: ribosomal RNA, 253 nt
Filed under: uncultured bacterium
Lineage: Bacteria
Description: partial 16S ribosomal RNA
Rfam family: Bacterial small subunit ribosomal RNA
Source: RNAcentral